AGAGUUUGAUCCUGGCUCAGGACAAACGCUGGCGGCGUGCCUAAGACAUGCAAGUCGGACGAUCCCUUCGGGGAUAGUGGCGGACGGGUGAGUAACACGUGGGCGACCUGCCCUGCAGUGGGGGAUAACAGGGGGAAACCUCUGCUAAGACCGCAUGCGAGCGUGGCCAUAGGGGGCCACGGGGAAAAGCCGGAAGGCUGCUGCAGGAGGGGCCCGCGGCGGAUUAGCUAGUUGGGGGGGUAGCGGCCCACCAAGGCGACGAUCCGUAGCUGGUCUGAGAGGACGGCCAGCCACACCGGGACUGAGAGACGGCCCGGACUCCUACGGGAGGCAGCAGUUAGGGAACUUUCACACUGGGCGCAAGCCUGAUGGAGUGACGCCGCGUGCAGGAGGAAGGCCUUCGGGUCGUAAACUGCUUUUGUGGGGGACGAGGAUGACGGUACCCCACGAAGAAGCCCCGGCUAACUACGUGCCAGCAGCCGCGGUAAUACGUAGGGGGCGAGCGUUGUCCGGAGUUACUGGGCGUAAAGGGCACGCAGGCGGUCCGACGCGUUUGGGGUGACAGCUCUCGGCUUAACCGAGAGAGCGUCUCAAAGACGGUCGGACUUGAGGGCCAGAGAGGGACAUGGAACUCCGGGUGGAGUGGUGAAAUGCGUAGAGAUCCGGAAGAACACCAAAGGCGAAGGCAGUGUCCUGGCUGGUACCUGACGCUCAGGUGCGAAAGCGAGGGGAGCGAACGGGAUUAGAUACCCCGGUAGUCCUCGCCGUAAACGAUGACCACCAGGUGUGGGAGGUAUCGACCCCUUCCGUGCCGGCGUUAACGCACUCAGUGGUCCGCCUGGGGAGUACGGUCGCAAGAUUAAAACUUAAAGGAAUUGACGG
Molecule: ribosomal RNA, 882 nt
Filed under: uncultured bacterium
Lineage: Bacteria
Description: bacterial SSU rRNA
Rfam family: Bacterial small subunit ribosomal RNA
Source: RNAcentral